UACGAAGGGGGCUAGCGUUGCUCGGAAUUACUGGGCGUAAAGGGCGCGUAGGCGGACAGUUUAGUCAGAGGUGAAAGCCCAGGGCUCAACCUUGGAAUAGCCUUUGAUACUGGCUGUCUUGAGUUCGGGAGAGGUGAGUGGAAUGCCGAGUGUAGAGGUGAAAUGCGUAGAUAUUGGGAGGAACACCAGUGGCGAAGGCGGCUACCUGGACCGGUUCUGACGCUGAGGCGCGAAAGCGUGGGUAGCAAACAGG
This 253-nucleotide ribosomal RNA is filed under the name uncultured bacterium. Its description in RNAcentral is "partial 16S ribosomal RNA". It matches the Rfam family "Bacterial small subunit ribosomal RNA", at positions 524 to 776 of the family's 1533-position model. The record is from RNAcentral.